RNAcentral lists this small RNA (162 nucleotides) under Serinus canaria (Common canary). Its description in RNAcentral is "TUC338 (ENSSCAG00000011130.1)". Lineage: Eukaryota; Metazoa; Chordata; Aves; Passeriformes; Fringillidae. The record is from RNAcentral.
CAGAGAAGUGGAAAGUUAAGUCCUGUAUUUACCCACAGAGGAUGCAGGGCACAGGCAAGUAUCUGUGUUCCAAAACAUUGAUGAGUCUUAGCCUGACCUCAAGAGACCCAGCCAGCAGGGAUAGGAGGUAGUUUCCUCUUUAUUAAUUUCUCAGGGGCUGCU